GGAUUGUGGCUCAGUGGUAGAGUGCUCGCCUAGCAUGUGUGAGGCCCUGGGUUCGAUCCUCAGCACCG
This 68-nucleotide transfer RNA is filed under the name Marmota monax (woodchuck). RNAcentral's name for it is "tRNA.Ala". The stretch from base 5 to 65 matches the Rfam family "tRNA", at positions 6 to 65 of the family's 71-position model. From Rfam's summary of the family: Transfer RNA (tRNA) molecules are approximately 80 nucleotides in length. The record is from RNAcentral. Lineage: Eukaryota; Metazoa; Chordata; Mammalia; Rodentia; Sciuridae.